CGGGGAGAUGCUAAUAAUAUCUAUGAUGGCCCACCCUAUAGCUCUCUUAUGCCUCUAAAAUACUAAGAUAAGUGCAUUCACCUAUUUUUCACCCAAUAAUAAUAAUAGGUAGCGUGUUCCCAUUACCCAGAAACACGUACCGUAGGUGCCCAAGCAAUUCCUUCAAUUCCAACACCGGAGGCUCCUCAAUAGAUGGCUUGGCUGGUGGCGUUGGUCGAUUAUCCAGGUCAAGGUAUAGCUUUUUAGGAUCAUAAGUAUAUGAACCCAUUCUUGUAAAGGCACAAAUGGUCUCUUCAUACUCCCCAAUGCCUUUACUAUCAUAAUUCAUCAUGCCCGUGGCUAAAGGUUCGAUAACAAGUUACUCAGCUAUGGGCACCUCCU
Molecule: long non-coding RNA, 381 nt
Filed under: Capsicum annuum
Lineage: Eukaryota; Viridiplantae; Streptophyta; Magnoliopsida; Solanales; Solanaceae
Description: long non-coding RNA (CANN_LNC000750)
Source: RNAcentral